CUUUGUCAGUGAUCAUCGUCUGUCGUAUUGUCCGGACUUUUACUACUUAAAGACGCCUUCCUUUCUUGUAAUUCUUCGUCCCCUAGACUCUGCACUGACCAACAAAGAAAAUGCAUUUUCACAUUACUUUGUUCAAAUUUAACGUACUUGUAAUUUAAUUGAUCAUAGAAAACAUUUUGCCGUACGCACGAAUGCCUAAAUCUUGAUGGGAACUGUUUGCAUGCAAUGUUGAAAUGCGUUUUCUUUUGGCGUAAUUUUUUUUAUAGUAUGUUAAACAUCCAAUCCAUUCUUACUUACUGAAGACUUUUUGUCAAAAUUUUGAAUCUUGCACUUUGAUGUUGUAUCUCAUACAAGCAUUCUGGCCUACAUCAGGAAAUAGGGUACAGUAAUUGCAUGGCCCCUUUUGAGUCUGCCUUCUGACCUAUACACAUGUAAUGGGAAAGGUAUUGGAACAACUAAUUACAUGGAGGUGAUGUGUCAAUUUGGGACUUGAGUUGUCAGCAGUUGGUUGAAAAGUGCAAAGAAUCACACUUUUUUCUCCAUUCAUCUUUAGAAUCCUGGGUUGGUCACUGUUUAUGGAACAUUCGCGUCUAUUCAGGCCAAAAGUACGACAAAUCUAUCCACAUCGAACAUGGAGUCGAUUACCGUAUUGUACAUAGAAAUGUUUGAAGACGGAAUGGACUAGCUGUAUGUUGGAGUAAUGUUCCAGAAAGCAGCAUUCCAGGGGCAAGAAUCCAAGUUGAAAGGCUGAUCAACACUUUAUAUAUUGUUCAACUUGUUUUCUUUGCCCCUUGGUGAAUUUGAAUUAAAUUGGAAAUUGAAAGUUA
This is a long non-coding RNA of Daphnia carinata, 827 nucleotides long. RefSeq lists it as uncharacterized. The transcript has 4 exons. Lineage: Eukaryota; Metazoa; Arthropoda; Branchiopoda; Diplostraca; Daphniidae. The record is from RefSeq and is a predicted model, not a curated record.